CAAUCGAGAUUGGGGUUGGUAGAGUAGAGGACUGAAAAUCCUCGUG
Molecule: transfer RNA, 46 nt
Filed under: Solanum aggregatum
Lineage: Eukaryota; Viridiplantae; Streptophyta; Magnoliopsida; Solanales; Solanaceae
Description: partial tRNA-Phe
Source: RNAcentral